UUGCAAACAAAAUGUUGAGAAAAUGUUUUUAGUAAUACAAGGCAAGCCAUCUGUGAAUUAAUGUGCAUAAAUGAUAGUACUCCUAUCUCUAGUCAGAUUCAAGGAACCCAAAAAGACAAACUCUCUUCCUCCAUGUUGGCUUGGGUUUGCUACUGUUUAACCAGUAAACCAUGAUCUUCAAAAUUUUUAACAGCAUCCAUCAGAGUCUCUUCCAAAGGCUUAAACUUCCAUCCCAAUUCCUCCAAUUUCUUGGAACUCAAUUUCCAGGAAGUCAGCUUCUUUUCAGUGAAACUAUCAUGAAUAUAUAUAUAUAUAUAUAUAUAUAUAUAUAUAUAUAUAUA
Molecule: long non-coding RNA, 341 nt
Filed under: Panax ginseng (ginseng)
Lineage: Eukaryota; Viridiplantae; Streptophyta; Magnoliopsida; Apiales; Araliaceae
Description: long non-coding RNA (PGIN_LNC017655)
Source: RNAcentral